UUAAUUGAAGAGUUUGAUCAUGGCUCAGAUUGAACGCUGGCGGCAGGCCUAACACAUGCAAGUCGGACGGUAACAGGAAGCAGCUUGCUGCUUUGCUGACGAGUGGCGGACGGGUGAGUAAUGUCUGGGAAACUGCCUGAUGGCGGGGGAUAACCACUGGAAACGGUGGCUAAUACCGCAUAACGUCGCAAGACCAAAGAGGGGGACC
Molecule: ribosomal RNA, 208 nt
Filed under: Cedecea colo
Lineage: Bacteria; Pseudomonadati; Pseudomonadota; Gammaproteobacteria; Enterobacterales; Enterobacteriaceae
Description: partial 16S ribosomal RNA
Rfam family: Bacterial small subunit ribosomal RNA
Source: RNAcentral